This 253-nucleotide ribosomal RNA is filed under the name uncultured bacterium. RNAcentral's name for it is "partial 16S ribosomal RNA". It matches the Rfam family "Bacterial small subunit ribosomal RNA", at positions 524 to 776 of the family's 1533-position model. The record is from RNAcentral.
UACGUAGGGUGCAAGCGUUACUCGGAAUUACUGGGCGUAAAGCGUGCGCAGGCGGUUGUGCAAGACAGAUGUGAAAUCCCCGGGCUUAACCUGGGAACUGCAUUUGUGACUGCACGGCUAGAGUGUGUCAGAGGGGGGUAGAAUUCCACGUGUAGCAGUGAAAUGCGUAGAUAUGUGGAGGAACACCGAUGGCGAAGGCAGCCCCCUGGGAUAACACUGACGCUCAUGCACGAAAGCGUGGGGAGCAAACAGG